This 465-nucleotide ribosomal RNA is filed under the name Vreelandella stevensii. RNAcentral's name for it is "partial 16S ribosomal RNA". It matches the Rfam family "Bacterial small subunit ribosomal RNA", at positions 338 to 795 of the family's 1533-position model. Lineage: Bacteria; Pseudomonadati; Pseudomonadota; Gammaproteobacteria; Oceanospirillales; Halomonadaceae. The record is from RNAcentral.
CCUACGGGUGGCUGCAGUGGGGAAUAUUGGACAAUGGGGGCAACCCUGAUCCAGCCAUGCCGCGUGUGUGAAGAAGGCCCUCGGGUUGUAAAGCACUUUCAGUGAGGAAGAACGCCUGGUGGUUAAUACCCAUCAGGAAAGACAUCACUCACAGAAGAAGCACCGGCUAACUCCGUGCCAGCAGCCGCGGUAAUACGGAGGGUGCGAGUGUUAAUCGGAAUUACUGGGCGUAAAGCGCGCGUAGGUGGCUUGAUAAGCCGGUUGUGAAAGCCCCGGGCUCAACCUGGGAACGGCAUCCGGAACUGUCAAGCUAGAGUGCAGGAGAGGAAGGUAGAAUUCCCGGUGUAGCGGUGAAAUGCGUAGAGAUCGGGAGGAAUACCAGUGGCGAAGGCGGCCUUCUGGACUGACACUGACACUGAGGUGCGAAAGCGUGGGUAGCAAACAGGAUUAGAUACCCUAGUAGUC